GACGAACCGUGCGAACGUUAUUCGGAAUCAUUGGGCUUAAAGCGCGCGUAGGCGGCGGCGUAAGCGGGGGGUGAAAGGCUAUCGGCUCAACCGUGGCAUGGCUUCCCGGACUGCGUUGCUUGAGGGGGACAGGGGCACGCGGAACUUCCAGUGGAGCGGUGAAAUGUGUUGAGAUUGGAAGGAACGCCAGUGGCGAAAGCGGCGUGCUGGAUCUCUCCUGACGCUGAGGCGCGAAAGCUAGGGGAGCAAACAGG
Molecule: ribosomal RNA, 254 nt
Filed under: uncultured bacterium
Lineage: Bacteria
Description: partial 16S ribosomal RNA
Rfam family: Bacterial small subunit ribosomal RNA
Source: RNAcentral